RNAcentral lists this ribosomal RNA (1222 nucleotides) under metagenome. Its description in RNAcentral is "SSU rRNA". It matches the Rfam family "Eukaryotic small subunit ribosomal RNA", at positions 1 to 1189 of the family's 1831-position model. The record is from RNAcentral.
UCUGGUUGAUCCUGCCAGUAGUGAUAUGCUUGUUUCAAAGAUUAAGCCAUGCAUGUCUAAGUAUAAGCGAACUUAUACAGUGAAACUGCGGAUGGCUCAUUAAAACAGUUUGAAUUUAUUUGAUGAAUGUAUGAGAAUACUACUUGGAUAACCGUAGUAAUUCUAGAGCUAAUACAUGCAACGACGCCCGACCGUUUCACUACGGAAGGGCUGUAUUUAUUGGAUACCAAAACCAUCCUUCCCUCGGGAAGUUUUGUUUGAUGAUUCACAAUAACUGAUCGGAUCGCCACUGUGGUGGCGACAGGUCAUUCAACAUUCUGCCCUAUCAGCUUUCGAUGGUUGUGUAGUGGACAACCAUGGCCAUAACGGGUAACGGAGAAUCAGGGUUCGAUUCCGGAGAAGGAGCUUGAGAAUUGGCUACUACAUCUAAGGAAGGCAGCAGGCGCGCAAAUUACCCAAUCCCGAUUCGGGGAGGUAGUGACAAAAAAUAACAAUACCGGGCCUUUUUGGGCUUGGUAAUUGGAAUGAGGGAGAGUUAAACGGACCAUCGAGUAUCCAUUGGAGGGCAAGUCUGGUGCCAGCAGCUGCGGUAAUACCAGCUCCAAUAGCGUAUAUUAAUGUUGUUGCAGUUAAAAAGCUCGUAGUUGGACUUGUGUGCGCUGUCCGCGGGUGGCCUGCGCCCAAAAGGGCGUUUCGGUUCGGCCCCGGUGGCGCCUUGAAAUCUGCAGCUGGGGGGACGUUGGCCUUAACUGGUCGGCGACCGCACGCCGGCUGCUCGGUUACUGUGAGAAAAUUAGAGUGUUCAAGGCAGGCAUUGGGUGCAAUUGAAUACAUUAGCAUGGAAUAAUAAAAUAUGGCUCCUGCCGUAUUUUGUUGGUUUUGACUGGUGGGAGUAAUGAUUGAUAGGGACGGUUGGGGGUGCUAGUAUUGAGCGGCCAGGGGUGAAAUUCAUGGAUUCGCUCAAGACUAACUUAUGCGAAAGCAUUCACCAAGGACGUCCUCUUUAAUCAAGAACGAAAGUUGGGGGAUCGAAGACGAUCAGAUACCGUCGUAGUCUCAACCAUAAACUAUGUCGACUUGGGAUCGGCGGUAGUUUUUUCAUUAAGACACUGUCGGGACCACGGGAGAAAUCAAAGUGUCUGGACUCUGGGGGAAGUAUGGUCGCAAGGCUGAAACUUGAAGGAAUUGACGGAAGGGCACCACCAGGAGUGGAGCCUGCGGC